CGAUGAUCCGGUGCUUGCCCGGGGAUUAGUGGCGAACGGGUGAGUAACACGUGAGUAACCUGCCCUUAACUCUGGGAUAAGCCUGGGAAACUGGGUCUAAUACCGGAUAUGACUCCUCAUCGCAUGGUGGGGGGUGGAAAGCUUUAUUGUGGUUUUGGAUGGACUCGCGGCCUAUCAGCUUGUUGGUGAGGUAAUGGCUCACCAAGGCGACGACGGGUAGCCGGCCUGAGAGGGUGACCGGCCACACUGGGACUGAGACACGGCCCAGACUCCUACGGGAGGCAGCAGUGGGGAAUAUUGCACAAUGGGCGAAAGCCUGAUGCAGCGACGCCGCGUGAGGGAUGACGGCCUUCGGGUUGUAAACCUCUUUCAGUAGGGAAGAAGCGAAAGUGACGGUACCUGCAGAAGAAGCGCCGGCUAACUACGUGCCAGCAGCCGCGGUAAUACGUAGGGCGCAAGCGUUAUCCGGAAUUAUUGGGCGUAAAGAGCUCGUAGGCGGUUUGUCGCGUCUGCCGUGAAAGUCCGGGGCUCAACUCCGGAUCUGCGGUGGGUACGGGCAGACUAAAGUGAUGUAGGGGAGACUGGAAUUCCUGGUGUAGCGGUGAAAUGCGCAGAUAUCAGGAGGAACACCGAUGGCGAAGGCAGGUCUCUGGGCAUUAACUGACGCUGAGGAGCGAAAGCAUGGGGAGCGAACAGGAUUAGAUACCCUGGUAGUCCAUGCCGUAAACGUUGGGCACUAGGUGUGGGGGACAUUCCACGUUUUCCGCGCCG
This 771-nucleotide ribosomal RNA is filed under the name Arthrobacter sp. KBS1003. RNAcentral's name for it is "bacterial SSU rRNA". It matches the Rfam family "Bacterial small subunit ribosomal RNA", at positions 67 to 848 of the family's 1533-position model. The record is from RNAcentral. Lineage: Bacteria; Bacillati; Actinomycetota; Actinomycetes; Micrococcales; Micrococcaceae.